This 468-nucleotide ribosomal RNA is filed under the name uncultured bacterium. RNAcentral describes it as "partial 16S ribosomal RNA". It matches the Rfam family "Bacterial small subunit ribosomal RNA", at positions 28 to 507 of the family's 1533-position model. The record is from RNAcentral.
GACGAACGCUGGCGGCGUGCUUAACACAUGCAAGUCGAACGGAAAGGCCCUGCUUUUGUGGGGUGCUCGAGUGGCGAACGGGUGAGUAACACGUGAGUAACCUGCCCUUGACUUUGGGAUAACUUCAGGAAACUGGGGCUAAUACCGGAUAGGAGCUCCUGCUGCAUGGUGGGGAUUGGAAAGUUUCGGCGGUUGGGGAUGGACUCGCGGCUUAUCAGCUUGUUGGUGGGGUAGUGGCUUACCAAGGCUUUGACGGGUAGCCGGCCUGUGAGGGUGACCGGCCACAUUGGGACUGAGAUACGGCCCAGACUCCUACGGGAGGCAGCAGUGGGGAAUAUUGCACAAUGGGCGGAAGCCUGAUGCAGCAACGCCGCGUGCGGGAUGACGGCCUUCGGGUUGUAAACCGCUUUCGCCUGUGACGAAGCGUGAGUGACGGUAAUGGGUAAAGAAGCACCGGCUAACUACGUG